Molecule: ribosomal RNA, 43 nt
Filed under: [Diploschistes] ocellatus var. almeriensis
Lineage: Eukaryota; Fungi; Ascomycota; Lecanoromycetes; Ostropales; Graphidaceae
Description: Xalocoa ocellata var. almeriensis partial 18S ribosomal RNA
Rfam family: Eukaryotic small subunit ribosomal RNA
Source: RNAcentral
UCGUAACAAGGUUACAGUAGGUGAACCUGCGGUAGGAUCAUUA